RNAcentral lists this ribosomal RNA (497 nucleotides) under uncultured bacterium. RNAcentral describes it as "partial 16S ribosomal RNA". It matches the Rfam family "Bacterial small subunit ribosomal RNA", at positions 28 to 507 of the family's 1533-position model. The record is from RNAcentral.
GACGAACGCUGGCGGCGUGCCUAAUACAUGCAAGUAGAACGCUGAAGAGAGGAGCUUGCUCUUCUUGGAUGAGUUGCGAACGGGUGAGUAACGCGUAGGUAACCUGCCUUGUAGCGGGGGAUAACUAUUGGAAACGAUAGCUAAUACCGCAUAACAAUGGAUGACACAUGUCAUUUAUUUGAAAGGGGCAAUUGCUCCACUACAAGAUGGACCUGCGUUGUAUUAGCUAGUGGGUGAGGUAAUGGCUCACCUAGGCGACGAUACAUAGCCGACCUGAGAGGGUGAUCGGCCACACUGGGACUGAGACACGGCCCAGGCUCCUACGGGAGGCAGCAGUAGGGAAUCUUCGGCAAUGGGGGCAACCCUGACCGGGCAACGCCGCGUGAGUGAAGAAGGUUUUCGGAUCGUAAAGCUCUGUUGUAAGUCAAGAACGGGUGUGAGAGUGGAAAGUUCACACUGUGACGGUAGCUUACCAGAAAGGGACGGCUAACUACGUG